RNAcentral lists this ribosomal RNA (417 nucleotides) under uncultured bacterium. RNAcentral's name for it is "bacterial SSU rRNA". It matches the Rfam family "Bacterial small subunit ribosomal RNA", at positions 32 to 442 of the family's 1533-position model. The record is from RNAcentral.
AAUCAACGCUGGCGGCGUGCCUCAGACAUGCAAGUCGAACGAUUAAACUUUCCUUCGGGAAAGAUAUAAAGUGGCGCACGGGUGAGUAACACGUAGGUAAUGUACCUUUGGGUGGGGAAUAACCAUCGGAAACGAUGGCUAAUACCGCAUAAUGCAGCGGCAUCGCAAGAUGACAGUUGUUAAAGAUUUAUCGCCUAAAGAGCAGCCUGCGGCAGAUUAGGUAGNGGUAAGGUAAUGGCUUACCAAGCCUGCGAUCUGUAACCGACCUGAGAGGGUGGUCGGUCACACUGACACUGAAUAACGGGUCAGACUCCUACGGGAGGCAGCAGUCGGGAAUUUUGGGCAAUGGGCGAAAGCCUGACCCAGCAACGCCGCGUGAAGGACGAAGUCUUUCGGGAUGUAAACUUCGUAAGAAUA